This 1159-nucleotide small RNA is filed under the name uncultured Candidatus Solibacter sp. RNAcentral's name for it is "bacterial SSU rRNA". The stretch from base 1 to 486 matches the Rfam family "Bacterial small subunit ribosomal RNA", at positions 1046 to 1533 of the family's 1533-position model. The record is from RNAcentral. Lineage: Bacteria; Pseudomonadati; Acidobacteriota; Terriglobia; Bryobacterales; Solibacteraceae.
UGGCUGUCGUCAGCUCGUGUCGUGAGAUGUUGGGUUAAGUCCCGCAACGAGCGCAACCCUUGUCCUGUGUUGCCAUACCGAAAGGUGGAACUCGCAGGAGACCGCCAGCGAUAAGCUGGAGGAAGGUGGGGAUGACGUCAAGUCCUCAUGGCCUUUAUGUCCAGGGCUACACACGUGCUACAAUGGGCGGUACAAAGGGUCGCUAACCCGCGAGGGGGAGCCAAUCCCAAAAAACCGUUCUCAGUUCGGAUUGCAGGCUGCAACCCGCCUGCAUGAAGCUGGAAUCGCUAGUAAUGGCAGAUCAGCACGCUGCCGUGAAUACGUUCCCGGGCCUUGUACACACCGCCCGUCACACCAUGGGAGUUGAUUGCACCAGAAGCAGGUAGCCUAACCGCAAGGGGGGCGCCUACCACGGUGUGUUCAAUGACUGGGGUGAAGUCGUAACAAGGUAGCCGUACGGGAACGUGCGGCUGGAUCACCUCCUUUAAAGAGACAGCGCCAAAGAACGUGUCUGCGCGAGCCUCCCUUCACAAGUUACUUAUUCAAAUGUUUAGUUGGUUGGUAUGCCCUUACUGAGGGCGACCCGACGCUGGCCCCCGGGUCUGUAGCUCAGUUGGUUAGGGCGCACCCCUGAUAAGGGUGAGGUCGGAGGUUCAACUCCUCCCAGACCCACCAAAUCAAACCGGGUCAAAGCGUCGAGCAAAGCCAGGUUCAAUCGGACGGGGCCAUAGCUCAGCUGGGAGAGCGUCGCGUUUGCAACGCGAAGGUCGUCGGUUCGAUCCCGACUGGCUCCACCAGACCCAACUAUUCGAUCACGGCGUGUCAUGAGUCAUGCGUAGGUUGCCCGCCGCAGGAAAGGGGGCGAUUGCAUCACUCAUGGCAUGCGAGUCAUGAGACUCGUAUGUGUUCUUUAAAAAUUCGGCAAUUUGUUUUGAUGUCUGACUUCAAGCGAAAGCUUGCAAGUUGGGUGUCGCAUUCGAGAACCAGUUGAUUGAGUGAUGUAACUCCAAAUCGCUUGGGGUUAUAUGGUCAAGUGAAUAAGCGCACAUGGUGGAUGCCUUGGCGACAGAAGGCGAUGAAGGACGUGGUAGCCUGCGAUAAGCUUCGGGGAGCCGGCAAAUAUGCAUCGAUCCGAAGAUUUCCGAAUGGGGAAACCCGG